GAUGAAGAACGUAGCGAAAUGCGAUACUUGGUGUGAAUUGCAGAAUCCCGUGAACCAUCGAGUCUUUGAACGCAAGUUGCGCCCGAAGCCAUUAGGCCGAGGGCACGCCUGCCUGGGCGUCACACGUCGUUGCCCCCCCAUCUACUCCUUCGGGAUUGCGGGGGGCGGAUGAUGGCCUCCCGUGCGCCUAGUCGCGCGGUUGGCAUAAAAGUCAAGUCCUCGGCGACGCACGCCACGACAAUCGGUGGUUGCGAAACCUCGGUUGCCCGUCGUGUGCGGUCGUCGCGCAUCGAGGGCUCGAAAAAAUUGCCGGGCUCCGGCUCGGCUUUCAACGCGACCCCAGGUCAGGCGGGGUUACCCGCUGAAUUUAAGCAUAUCAAUAAGCGGAGGA
Molecule: unclassified non-coding RNA, 391 nt
Filed under: soil metagenome
Description: partial contains 5.8S ribosomal RNA, internal transcribed spacer 2, and large subunit ribosomal RNA
Rfam family: 5.8S ribosomal RNA (bases 1-122)
Source: RNAcentral